Molecule: ribosomal RNA, 270 nt
Filed under: Triticum aestivum (bread wheat)
Lineage: Eukaryota; Viridiplantae; Streptophyta; Magnoliopsida; Poales; Poaceae
Description: partial small subunit ribosomal RNA
Source: RNAcentral
AUGGUCGUAGCAGUUGCGAUAUGGAUCAUAGGAUUCUUUUCUGUUCGCCGCAGGAGUAUUUUACCUGUAAAGUUGCGAUGCCGAUCAAAAUGCUGCUUGUUUUCUCUUCUUCCCCACAUGGCCACGCCCACCGGAUCUUGGACUUCACACCUCUUUCCAUUAUUUUUAGUUCCCGUUGGAGCGUAUCUGUACGUCUGCACCUCAACAAGAAUGUUCUCUCACUGGUAUUUGAUUAAUACUACCACUAGUUUUUUGGAGAAUGUUUGGUAA